UGACCACUUACUUUUGAAAGUAAGUUAAAGCCAUACGGACAGCUGGGUCAAAUGCCGA
Molecule: small RNA, 58 nt
Filed under: Halalkalibacter akibai JCM 9157
Lineage: Bacteria; Bacillati; Bacillota; Bacilli; Caryophanales; Bacillaceae
Description: Bacillus akibai JCM 9157 Streptococcus sRNA SpF59 (ldcC RNA)
Rfam family: Streptococcus sRNA SpF59 (ldcC RNA)
Source: Rfam by way of RNAcentral